CCAUUUAAUUUAUAGACCAAAAACAAUUUUAAAUUAAUUUUUCAGUUCAAAAGGACUUUUUUGAAAACUUUCAAAAGUUUCAAGGACCAAAUCAUAAUUUGGCUUGCAAAUUCAUCUUCUUCCUUAGAACAACCCUAGCCCCCGUAUGAGGUUUCAGCACUUCUGUCAUCCAGUCCAGCCACCGGAGGGACGAGCAACAUUGCAUUCCCGUCGGUUCCCCGUCCGCCGCUAAUCGAACGCAAGGUCGAUGGCAUCGCAAAGGAAGCCGCGAUAUCCCGCAACAAACAGUAGCUUCAACCCGCGACAUCGCGAGAGCCGCUAUCCUUCAGCUCCCGCCGCCAUUUGUCGACCCGCAGAUCGCGUAACGGUUGCGCGUCCGCUGCCGACAAAAGCAGCGCUGGAAAGUCCUUAAUCUUCUUCGUCGACGAGAAUCGAGAAGGCGAAUGUUUUCUCCUCUCGGUUCCACCGGCGACCAGCGCCUCGGUUCCAGCUUUCCCGCGAUAUCGAGGAUGCCCGAUGAUGAUCUCAGCAGCCACAGAUACUGCAGCUUCGCACGGCACAUGUGCAUCGCUAUGAUGCCCGUCGUCGGACCGUCGAGCUGUCACCGGGCGUUCUAGCAGCUGCAGAUCAUGUUCCAAGAUUUCCAGAAAUCGAUGAUUUUUAUUUUUUAUUUUUUAAUCAAAAAUUAAAACUAUUUUAAUUUCUAACAUAAAUU
Molecule: long non-coding RNA, 715 nt
Filed under: Manihot esculenta (cassava)
Lineage: Eukaryota; Viridiplantae; Streptophyta; Magnoliopsida; Malpighiales; Euphorbiaceae
Description: long non-coding RNA (MESC_LNC007248)
Source: RNAcentral